AAUAGAUACCCAGGUAGUCCACGCCGUAAACGAUGAGUGCUAAGUGUUAGAGGGUUUCCGCCCUUUAGUGCUGCAGCAAACGCAUUAAGCACUCCGCCUGGGGAGUACGGUCGCAAGACUGAAACUCAAAGGAAUUGACGGGGGCCCGCACAAGCGGUGGAGCAUGUGGUUUAAUUCGAAGCAACGCGAAGAACCUUACCAGGUCUUGACAUCCUCUGACAACCCUAGAGAUAGGGCUUCCCCUUCGGGGGCAGAGUGACAGGUGGUGCAUGGUUGUCGUCAGCUCGUGUCGUGAGAUGUUGGGUUAAGUCCCGCAACGAGCGCAACCCUUGAUCUUAGUUGCCAGCAUUCAGUUGGGCACUCUAAGGUGACUGCCGGUGACAAACCGGAGGAAGGUGGGGAUGACGUCAAAUCAUCAUGCCCCUUAUGACCUGGGCUACACACGUGCUACAAUGGGCAGAACAAAGGGCAGCGAAGCCGCGAGGCUAAGCCAAUCCCACAAAUCUGUUCUCAGUUCGGAUCG
This 523-nucleotide ribosomal RNA is filed under the name uncultured bacterium. RNAcentral's name for it is "bacterial SSU rRNA". It matches the Rfam family "Bacterial small subunit ribosomal RNA", at positions 777 to 1300 of the family's 1533-position model. The record is from RNAcentral.